UACAGAGGUCUCAAGCGUUGUUCGGAUUCAUUGGGCGUAAAGGGUGCGUAGGCGGCGGGGCAAGUCUGGUGUGAAAUCCCGGGGCUCAACUCCGGAACUGCACUGGAUACUGCCUUGCUAGAGUACUGGAGAGGGAACUGGAAUUUACGGUGUAGCAGUGAAAUGCGUAGAGAUCGUAAGGAAGACCAGUGGCGAAGGCGAGUUCCUGGACAGUAACUGACGCUGAGGCACGAAGGCUGGGGGAGCAAACGGG
This 253-nucleotide ribosomal RNA is filed under the name uncultured bacterium. RNAcentral describes it as "partial 16S ribosomal RNA". It matches the Rfam family "Bacterial small subunit ribosomal RNA", at positions 524 to 776 of the family's 1533-position model. The record is from RNAcentral.